GGGUCGGUAGCUCAGUCGGUAGAGCAUCUGACUUUUAAUCAGGUGGCCCCGGGUUCGAGUCCCGGCCGACCCA
RNAcentral lists this transfer RNA (73 nucleotides) under Candidatus Lambdaproteobacteria bacterium. RNAcentral describes it as "tRNA-Lys". It matches the Rfam family "tRNA". Rfam says of the family: Transfer RNA (tRNA) molecules are approximately 80 nucleotides in length. Their secondary structure includes four short double-helical elements and three loops (D, anti-codon, and T loops). Lineage: Bacteria; Pseudomonadati; Pseudomonadota; Candidatus Lambdaproteobacteria. The record is from RNAcentral.